RNAcentral lists this unclassified non-coding RNA (803 nucleotides) under Hevea brasiliensis (rubber tree). The record is from RNAcentral. Lineage: Eukaryota; Viridiplantae; Streptophyta; Magnoliopsida; Malpighiales; Euphorbiaceae.
GAAGUCCCGUUUGUAGCUGUCUUUUAAGGGCUCUCCCGAAGGGAGGCACCUUUCCCCCUUGACUUGGAGAAGUGGGUUUUGCCCUCGUUUUUUUGGGUUGAAUUGUUUUUAGUUUUUUUCUUUUGUUUCAUGUUUCUCUUUUGCAAAUCCGGACUAAUUGUGAGCAUUUCUAAUGAUUAUUGUGAGGAGCAUGAAGCUCUUCCUAGUUGCUUGAUUUUGUCUAGUGUUCCUUCUUUGUUUGAAGGGUUUGCUAUGGAAUUCGACUGAAUUAGUGUGAGCUUCCCUGGUUUUGCAUGGCAUGGAUUAGUUUCUGGUGGUGGUUUGCUCGCGGGUGCGAUCUAGAAGGUCGGCCAAAAGGCACGAAUGGUACACCGAAGAGACCGAUGUGUGGUUUUCAUGGCUUCUCCUUCACUAUAGUUUCUAGCUACCUUGAAUUUGUGCCUCGUUUGUUUCGUGCCUAAAACCAGUAGUCUAGUUCGAUUCCUUGGUGUUUCUUGCUUGGGCCUUUUAUCAGGCGUUGAUGUCAUGCAUGGCCUCCGGUUUCCUCUUGAGUUUGUUGUUCAUCUCCCCCAGAUGAAAGAUAGCCGUCUAUGCACGACGAUGGAUGUAUUACAGGGUUUUGGAUUCAGGCGGUUGACCCACUUCGACUAAGGUUGUUGAUCGGCCUUGGGUCUUAGAUGCUGGUUGAAUCUAGUUUAGCUAGAUUGUUUGUAUUUAGGCUAGGUAGCCUUUUCUUGUAAUGGACCAUAAGGCCCACUCCUUUAAUGAAUUCAAACUAUCUCUUGAUAAAAUAAAUAAAUAAA